This 253-nucleotide ribosomal RNA is filed under the name uncultured bacterium. Its description in RNAcentral is "partial 16S ribosomal RNA". It matches the Rfam family "Bacterial small subunit ribosomal RNA", at positions 524 to 776 of the family's 1533-position model. The record is from RNAcentral.
UACGUAGGGUGCGAGCGUUAAUCGGAAUUACUGGGCGUAAGGCGUGCGCAGGCGGUUUUGUAAGCCAGAUGUGAAAUCCCCGGGCUUAACCUGGGAAUGGCAUUUGGGACUGCAAGGCUGGAGUUUGGCAGAGGAGACUGGAAUUCCUGGUGUAGCAGUGAAAUGCGUAGAUAUCAGGAGGAAUACCGAUGGCGAAGGCAGGUCUCUGGGCUAUAACUGACGCUCAUGCACGAAAGCGUGGGGAGCAAACAGG